AACUUUUUAUUUCUGUAUAGGAAGCAGUUCAGCAUAGGAACCCGAAAACCACUACUUUGCAUAAUGGAACUGCUGGUCAUAUUAUGUAAGUAGCUAAAGCAUUUUCAAACAGAAUUUCCAAUUACCCAUACCUACCUUUGUGAAAUGCUCAUUAAUUCAGUCACAAAAUUGAUCUGUGUGUCUGUUUGACAGGGAUGAUGUCUACAACUUUAACAUCAGUGGGUUUGAUGAGCCUACAAUAAAGCUUGGCGUAAGAAUAUAACCGAAACUGAUAUGUUAUGAAUAGAAUAUAAAGGAGUUCAGUCAACUUAAAUUAUGUCUGCUGGAAGUACAGUUAACAGCUGAAAUCAGUGAUGUAAUUUGAAAUUUUAGAGGGGAAAAGUGUUUGCCAUGUAAAUACCUCCAUCCCUUUCAAAUGUAGAAUGAUAUUUGCUAUCCUAAGCAUCUGGUGACUUAAAGAUAUUCUGAUGUUUUCCUGAAUAAAGAAUAAAAGAGGUUUUUAUGAGUAUCAUUAUCUUUCGAUUUAUCCUGUUAUCCUGAAAGCGCUAUUGCUUUCCUUCCAAUCCCCAUUGUAAAGUCAUGUUUGCCCAGAUAUUUGAGUAGAAGGAAAGUCUAGGUAAGGUAGAAGCAAAAGACAACAAAAGACAGUUUUGCUGCUUAUGGCUCAGAGGAGGCUGCUGAAUUGGUGAAGGCAGGGAAGCGAAGUGGAUGGAAACUCAUGUAUGUUAGAGAUAUUGAAAGCUUCAGUCAGUUCCGGUUGGUUUUAACUAUCAGCUCUGUUGUUAAAUAAUUUCUAAGAUAGAAAUUAAUCAUCGAAAUUUAAUUGUAAAGUAAAAAAACUGAGCAAGAAAGCCCCGAGCUGUUACUGUCUGAUGCCCUGUUUAAUUUUGUUUAAAUUGUGUAACAAAUCAAAACUUUAAUUUGUUUUUAAUUUAUUUACAUUUUUAGGUCCCAGAGUUGCAUGUUACUGAACUGAGUGUUCGUACAGAUCCAAACACAAAAGGGAAUGCAGAUGACAGGAAAACUGGCACUGAAGUUAAAGGAAGGAAAAAAACUAGAAACAAUCAAAACAAGAAGCAUCUCUUUAGUGACACAGACACAGAAUACAGAGCUGAUGACAGCAAGACAGACAUCAGUUGGCUACAAGAAUCAAAUAGAAAAUCUAAAGCCCAGUUAAUUGACUACAGUAGAAGUAAAAACUUAGGGAAACCAAUAAGCACAGACAAAGGUAAGAAACUUUGUUUCGUAUUUCUUACGACCACUGCAAUAAAUUUGUCUAUAGAUACUCGGUGCAGUGUGUGAUGUGCUGCAGAUACGAUAUG
Molecule: long non-coding RNA, 1322 nt
Filed under: Calidris pygmaea (Spoon-billed sandpiper)
Lineage: Eukaryota; Metazoa; Chordata; Aves; Charadriiformes; Scolopacidae
Description: lncRNA (ENSCPGG00000006277.1)
Source: RNAcentral